RNAcentral lists this small RNA (125 nucleotides) under Pseudomonas sp. M30-35. The record is from RNAcentral. Lineage: Bacteria; Pseudomonadati; Pseudomonadota; Gammaproteobacteria; Pseudomonadales; Pseudomonadaceae.
GUGGACGUAGCGCAGGAAGCGCGAACUUCUAAUCAUGGAUACGAUGGAAUGCCUGCCAGGAUGGCAAGCAGAUCAAGGAUGGUCAGCAACAGUCUGCAUGAACCUCGCUUUUAAAGCGGGGUUUU